RNAcentral lists this ribosomal RNA (330 nucleotides) under uncultured bacterium. RNAcentral describes it as "bacterial SSU rRNA". It matches the Rfam family "Bacterial small subunit ribosomal RNA", at positions 568 to 898 of the family's 1533-position model. The record is from RNAcentral.
UGUGUAGGCGGUUCUUUAAGUUUGGUGUGAAAUCUCCCGGCUCAACCGGGAGGGUGCGCCGAAUACUGAGGGACUAGAGUGUGGGAGAGGAAAGUGGAAUUCCUGGUGUAGCGGUGAAAUGCGUAGAUAUCAGGAGGAACACCGGUGGUGUAGGCGGCUUUCUGGACCAUAACUGACGCUGAGACACGAAAGCGUGGGUAGCAAACAGGAUUAGAUACCCUGGUAGUCCACGCCCUAAACGAUGCAUAUUUGGUGUGGGUCAUUCAGUUGAUCCGUGCCGGAGCUAACGCGUUAAAUAUGCCGCCUGGGGAGUACAGUCGCAAGGCUGAA